Molecule: ribosomal RNA, 214 nt
Filed under: uncultured bacterium
Lineage: Bacteria
Description: partial 16S ribosomal RNA
Rfam family: Bacterial small subunit ribosomal RNA
Source: RNAcentral
UACGUAGGGUGCAAGCGUUAAUCGGAAUUACUGGGCGUAAAGCGUGCGCAGGCGGUUUUGUAAGUCUGACGUGAAAUCCCCGGGCUCAACCUGGGAAUUGCGUUGGAGACUGCAAGGCUAGAAUCUGGCAGAGGGGGGUAGAAUUCCACGUGUAGCAGUGAAAUGCGUAGAGAUGUGGAGGAACACCGAUGGCGAAGGCAGCCCCCUGGGUCAA